GCCCCCGUAGCUCAGCUGGAUAGAGCAAUCGCCUCCUAAGCGAUAGGUCGCAGGUUCAAGUCCUGCCGGGGGUACCA
Molecule: transfer RNA, 77 nt
Filed under: Tamilnaduibacter salinus
Lineage: Bacteria; Pseudomonadati; Pseudomonadota; Gammaproteobacteria; Pseudomonadales; Marinobacteraceae
Description: tRNA-Arg
Rfam family: tRNA
About the family: Transfer RNA (tRNA) molecules are approximately 80 nucleotides in length.
Source: RNAcentral